This 495-nucleotide ribosomal RNA is filed under the name uncultured bacterium. RNAcentral describes it as "bacterial SSU rRNA". It matches the Rfam family "Bacterial small subunit ribosomal RNA", at positions 351 to 840 of the family's 1533-position model. The record is from RNAcentral.
GCAGUGAGGAAUUUGGGACAAUGGGCGCAAGCCUGAUCCAGCCAUGCCGCGUGCAGGAAGACGGUCCUAUGGAUUGUAAUACUGCUUUUGUACAGGAAGAAACAUUCCCUCGUGAGGGAGCUUGACGGUACUGUAAGAAUAAGGAUCGGCUAACUCCGUGCCAGCAGCCGCGGUAAUACGGAGGAUCCAAGCGUUAUCCGGAAUCAUUGGGUUUAAAGGGUCCGUAGGCGGUUUAAUAAGUCAGUGGUGAAAGCCCAUCGCUCAACGGAGGAACGGCCAUUGAUACUGUAAGACUUGAAUAGUUAGGAAGUAACUAGAAUAUGUAGUGUAGCGGUGAAAUUUAGAUAGAUUACAUGGAAUACCAAUUGCGAAGGCAGGUUACUACUAAUGGAUUGACGCUGAUGGACGAAAGCGGGGAGAGCGAACAGGAUUAGAUACCCUGGUAGCACACGCCGUAAACGAUGGAUACUAGCUGUGCGGUGCAAGGUCAGUGGC